This 490-nucleotide ribosomal RNA is filed under the name Bacillus sp. (in: firmicutes). Its description in RNAcentral is "bacterial SSU rRNA". It matches the Rfam family "Bacterial small subunit ribosomal RNA", at positions 24 to 495 of the family's 1533-position model. The record is from RNAcentral. Lineage: Bacteria; Bacillati; Bacillota; Bacilli; Caryophanales; Bacillaceae.
UCAGGAUGAACGCUGGCGGCGUGCCUAAUACAUGCAAGUCGAGCGAAUGGAUUAAGAGCUUGCUCUUAUGAAGUUAGCGGCGGACGGGUGAGUAACACGUGGGUAACCUGCCCAUAAGACUGGGAUAACUCCGGGAAACCGGGGCUAAUACCGGAUAACAUUUUGAACUGCAUGGUUCGAAAUUGAAAGGCGGCUUCGGCUGUCACUUAUGGAUGGACCCGCGUCGCAUUAGCUAGUUGGUGAGGUAACGGCUCACCAAGGCAACGAUGCGUAGCCGACCUGAGAGGGUGAUCGGCCACACUGGGACUGAGACACGGCCCAGACUCCUACGGGAGGCAGCAGUAGGGAAUCUUCCGCAAUGGACGAAAGUCUGACGGAGCAACGCCGCGUGAGUGAUGAAGGCUUUCGGGUCGUAAAACUCUGUUGUUAGGGAAGAACAAGUGCUAGUUGAAUAAGCUGGCACCUGACGGUACCUAACCAGAAAGCCACG